GAGGAAUAUUGGGCAAUGCCCGCAAGGGUGACCCAGCAACGCCGCGUGGAGGAUGAAUGUCGUAAGAUUGUAAACUCCUGUUAGAGGGGAAGAAUAGUACCGGUUGGACCGGUAUAUGACUGUACCCUCAGAGAAAGCCCCGGCUAACUACGUGCCAGCAGCCGCGGUAAUACGUAGGGGGCAAGCGUUGUCCGGAUUUACUGGGUGUAAAGGGCGCGCAGGCGGGAUAAAAAGUCAGUGGUGAAAUCCUACAGCUUAACUGUAGAACUGCCUUUGAUACUUUUAUUCUUGAGUUCGGGAGAGAGAGACGGAAUUCCAGGUGUAGUGGUGAAAUACGUAGAUAUCUGGAAGAACACCAGUUGCGAAGGCGGUCUCUUGGUCCGACACUGACGCUGAGGCGCGAAAGCUAGGGUAGCAAACG
Molecule: ribosomal RNA, 421 nt
Filed under: uncultured bacterium
Lineage: Bacteria
Description: bacterial SSU rRNA
Rfam family: Bacterial small subunit ribosomal RNA
Source: RNAcentral